AGAUGUAAGGGUGACCUGGCUGUGACAUGUGUCACCACCCCAUUGAUCACAUAGGCUGAUGUGGUGGGCUAGGUGAGAGUGGGGGUGGGGAGUUCCCACUUCCUCUUUCACUGUUCUAUGUAUGUCCCUCAGGAGCUUCUGCACUCAGGACAAGCUUCCACAAAUAGAGGAGGGCUGGUAUUAGUUAAGGGCACAGAACUAGCCCCACUCCUUUGCUAGGACAUCUAAACAUGCUCUCAAAAAUAUUUCCUAGGACUAUAGAUUAUUCAAUGUAAAAUACUUCCCUUUAAGAUAUUUCCUUUAUG
This 305-nucleotide small nuclear RNA is filed under the name Jaculus jaculus (lesser Egyptian jerboa). RNAcentral's name for it is "7SK RNA (ENSJJAG00000002436.1)". It matches the Rfam family "7SK RNA". Rfam says of the family: 7SK was discovered as an abundant small nuclear RNA in the mid-70s but a possible function has only recently been suggested. Two independent studies have found that 7SK RNA binds the CDK9/cyclin T complex (known as elongation factor P-TEFb). The record is from RNAcentral. Lineage: Eukaryota; Metazoa; Chordata; Mammalia; Rodentia; Dipodidae.